Agrilus planipennis (emerald ash borer) is the source of this 199-nucleotide non-coding RNA. Lineage: Eukaryota; Metazoa; Arthropoda; Insecta; Coleoptera; Buprestidae. The record is from Rfam.
GGCUAUUAUUAUAAUUAUAUCCAUAUACCAGGCCUGCAUUAUGAAUACUUCGACUGAAGAGGACCCUAGCUGGUCCUAGAGCGGCCUGAGGUAGAGGGGUUUUAGUCGGUAGGUCCGAGGACUCCUUCUCGGGAAUCCGACACUACCCAGUCGUACGGACGGGUGGGUGUAUUUUGAAGAUUUCCCCUCUUCCACGAAA